Molecule: transfer RNA, 77 nt
Filed under: Oscillospiraceae bacterium
Lineage: Bacteria; Bacillati; Bacillota; Clostridia; Eubacteriales; Oscillospiraceae
Description: tRNA-Pro
Rfam family: tRNA
About the family: Transfer RNA (tRNA) molecules are approximately 80 nucleotides in length. Their secondary structure includes four short double-helical elements and three loops (D, anti-codon, and T loops).
Source: RNAcentral
CGGGAUGUGGCUCAGUUUGGUAGAGCGCCUGGUUUGGGACCAGGAUGCCGCAGGUUCGAAUCCUGUCAUCCCGACCA